UACGUAGGGUCCGAGCGUUGUCCGGAAUUAUUGGGGCGUAAAGGGCUCGUAGGCGGUCUGUUGCGUCGGGAGUGAAAACUUACAGCUUAACUGUGAGCGUGCUUCCGAUACGGGGCAGACUUGAGGUAUUCAGGGGAGAACGGAAUUCCGGUGUAGCGGUGAAAUGCGCAGAUAUCAGGAGGAACACCGGUGGCGAAGGCGGGUCUCUGGGCCGAUACUGACGCUGAGGAGCGAAAGCGUGGGGAGCGAACAGG
Molecule: ribosomal RNA, 254 nt
Filed under: uncultured bacterium
Lineage: Bacteria
Description: partial 16S ribosomal RNA
Rfam family: Bacterial small subunit ribosomal RNA
Source: RNAcentral